UACACCUAACAUAGUUUUUCCGAACCUGUUUUUCAGAAUAAAGAUAUCUUUUCGUGAAAGCAUCAAAAAUGGAUUCUUACACUGAGAAAGCGGCCUUCUUUUGCCGUGCAUAUGAUGAGGACAGCCAGGGCAUCUUAUGCACCCCUGAAGUAGUCCCAUCCACCGCAUCUGUAUCAGUUCAGAAUGUAUAUCCUUCUCAGACCGUAAUCUGGCCAGGGAGCGGACUGUUUGAAGCAGGUGACGAAGCAAUACUAGACAGCGUUUUGGAUUACGAGAACGAGAGUGGACUUCUAUCUCUAUCUGAAAUUAAUACAACAGACAGGCCCGAGACACCUCCAACUAACGGUAAGAAGAAGAAGAAAAGAAAAAAAAAAGUAUAAAUUUUAAAUAAAUAAGUAAAAUAAAUCUAAACCCGUCUCUCUCCAUUUUGUAGAGUGCAGACCAGAACCUGCUCACAAGGUGGACAAGGCUACUUGUACCAGCGAAGACGGUGUCUACCCGCUACUCGUCAUACCCGACUCGCCAGAAAAGCAAGGCAGACAACCGGCUAACACUAAAGAAGCUGACACUGACGGAGGACCAUCUGGAUCCAAAAUUAGCAUACCAGAAGCACCAGAGAAAGCAGUGACUGACGACUCCAGGCCAUACCCCAGACUGAAGCAUUCCACUAGAAGAAGCGGCAG
Molecule: long non-coding RNA, 683 nt
Organism: Mugil cephalus (flathead mullet)
Lineage: Eukaryota; Metazoa; Chordata; Actinopteri; Mugiliformes; Mugilidae
Exons: 7
Source: RefSeq, a predicted model, not a curated record